CUCCACUUCCUCCAGGACGAGGUCGUGGCUGGGGCCACUGUCAUGCAUGCGGCUAUGGCCCUGCCAGUCUUCAUUGGGCUAUUGGUGCGGAUGCACCCCCGACACCGGAGCGUGCGUCCCAGCGGCCGCUGAUUCCUGCAGAUUCCCCCACAGUAGGGUCAGAUGCGGCGAGGCCCAGCAGUACACAAGCCCCUGCCAAGUCGUGGGAUGCACCACAACCACCCCUACCACCAUCGCCACCACUGCGACCAAUGUCCCAAAGACACUGUAUCAGUUUUCGGAACUUUUUAUUUGGAACUUUUUAUUGUUUUUAAUAUUUAAUUAUUUUUUCAAGUCUGACCGAGAUUUUCACACUGCGAUCAUUAACCGCAUUCCUAGGGGAACAUAUCGCGUAUCCCACAGGAGCACCAAUUAUUUUGGUAUAACAAUUUAAAGUAUGUGGAAUUUGUAGCUGUCCUCAUGGUGGGAUUGCAACAACAAGUUGAUGUUCAAGAUCGUCAAGUCGCAGGUUUGGUAAAUUCCUGCGAAAGUGGUUCGCCGACACCUGGAAUCAGUUUGCCCGAACGCUGUGGUUGAUCGAGGAGAUCUCGCGCCAACUUUUGGAGUACUAAGAGAGCCCAAAAUUCCAGGCACAAUCGACAAAGAACAACUCGGAAGCAGCUGCUACUGUCUACCGCUGGGAAUUGUCCUCCAUUGGGGCUCACAAGCGUAAGAUGGAGGCACAACUCGAAUGCCUGGUCAAAUAGAUGGAGGUGUUUGAGAAGGUGCUGCAAAAAGAAGGAGGACGACUAGUGGAGCGGCCCGAGAGCAGCGGAAGUCGCGGAGCUGUUCCUGAACAUGAUGGAGGAACGACAAAGCCAGCACAACAAUAAUCAAGACCCUUUAUUGUCCUCUCAAGGCUCGGUGGCUCGGAACGAGCAAUAGGUGUGUCUGUCAGCAACGAGCGGCUGGAAUAAGGGCUGAGUAUUCGAUCUCGGCUCCGAGGCCCACUACACUGUUGCUGGACCAUCACAACCCAAUGGGUCUACUGCUCCAUUGCACUCACCACAACAACCGCCGCGCCCCGACCUUGAUGAUCAGGUAGCAAGAUGCGAGGAGUGGAUGCGGUGGUUGGAUCCCACAUGGCCCGAUCCUCCAGCACCCUAGCCUCGAACUGAUUCCCCGGUACUCGACAGCAACGACGAAGAGCCCACGGUCGAAGGGAUACUGAUUUAGAUUAGU
Long non-coding RNA from Sesamum indicum (sesame), 1221 nucleotides. RefSeq lists it as uncharacterized. The record is from RefSeq and is a predicted model, not a curated record. NCBI's taxonomy places the organism in Eukaryota, Viridiplantae, Streptophyta, Magnoliopsida, Lamiales, Pedaliaceae.